Molecule: transfer RNA, 75 nt
Filed under: Neotoma lepida (desert woodrat)
Lineage: Eukaryota; Metazoa; Chordata; Mammalia; Rodentia; Cricetidae
Rfam family: tRNA
About the family: Transfer RNA (tRNA) molecules are approximately 80 nucleotides in length. Their secondary structure includes four short double-helical elements and three loops (D, anti-codon, and T loops).
Source: Rfam by way of RNAcentral
GGAGAUGUAGCUCAAUGGUAGAGCAUAUACCUGCCUAGCGUGUACCAAGUCCUGGCUUUGAACCCAGCAUCUCUC